Molecule: non-coding RNA, 85 nt
Organism: Macrobrachium nipponense
Lineage: Eukaryota; Metazoa; Arthropoda; Malacostraca; Decapoda; Palaemonidae
Source: the annotation of a RefSeq genome assembly
GCAGUGAUGGCCGAGUGGUUAAGGCCCGUUCUGACUAGAAAUCAGAUGGGAUCUUCCCGCGUAGGUUCGAAUCCUACUCGCUGCG